Molecule: long non-coding RNA, 873 nt
Filed under: Aquila chrysaetos chrysaetos
Lineage: Eukaryota; Metazoa; Chordata; Aves; Accipitriformes; Accipitridae
Description: lncRNA (ENSACCG00020003900.1)
Source: RNAcentral
UUCAGACACCAAGUCGCAUAGAGAGAAACUGAAAUAUCUUCCAUCAAAAAAAUAGUGUGAAUUAAGCAUUACUCAGUUAAUGACUGGGAAAACAUCUUUCUUGAGUGCCUUGAGAACAAGUACGUUUUUGAAAAUAAGACUAUAUCUUAAGUAAUUUUGUUUGUUUUAUUUAAUUAGAGCUACCUCUGAUUUACCACCUUUUCAAGGUGGGCCAUUUAUUGAUUCCUCUGGGACUGAUGUUUUUCAGUUAAGACAAUAUUGAACCACAAUUUGUGUUAUUUCAGGUAUAAUUAAAAGAUUUUUUUUCUCGGAACACAAUUUGAAAACAAAUGGGAAAUAAAAUUUGCUAUUUUGAUACUUCUCCAGUUGCAUGCAACAUAAAUAUCAGCAUAAAUUACCCUAAUUGAGACAGCUUGUAAUUAAGUUUCUGGACAAUGAAGCUUUUCCCUUCUGUACCAAUCUCUCCCUGCAAGCCACAAUUUGAAAAGGAGAUUCUGAUUUUCUAGUUAGAAUGGAUUUUGACAGAGAACGGCCUUGCUUCAGAAGAACGCAGAAAACUGGCAGGAUAUGAAAAGUGAGGGAAGAUUCCAGCUGAUUUGUACUAAUCCAGUAAUUCGGAUUCUAGACACAAAAUGGUUACCAAGGCAAAGGUAAGAAUGAGCCAGGGCUGCAACUUCAGACAAAUCUUAAGGUAAUUAACUAUUCCCAGGCCCUGAGCUGUCCUGAGAGGAGAGAAAUCGUAUCAUACAAAGCUGAUGCUUGAAGUACCAACGCUUUAAGGUGCUCAGGAUUGUGAUGGACUUUCAGACUGUAGAGUUUGAUGGGCAGCACUGGAGAGAGUGUGUUUUCACUGGAUAUUUGCAGAAGGACAUG